RNAcentral lists this ribosomal RNA (530 nucleotides) under uncultured Nitrososphaerota archaeon. RNAcentral describes it as "bacterial SSU rRNA". It matches the Rfam family "Archaeal small subunit ribosomal RNA", at positions 451 to 981 of the family's 1478-position model. The record is from RNAcentral. Lineage: Archaea; Thermoproteati; Nitrososphaerota.
UCUGGUGUCAGCCGCCGCGGUAAAACCAGCACCUCAAGUGGUCAGGAUGAUUAUUGGGCCUAAAGCAUCCGUAGCCUGCUUUGUUAGUUUUCGGUUAAAUCCAUACGCUCAACGUAUGGGCUGCCGGGAAUACCGCAAAGCUAGGGAGUGGGAGAGGUAGACGGUACUCGGUAGGAAGGGGUAAAAUCCUUUGAUCUAUUGAUGACCACCUGUGGCGAAGGCGGUCUACCAGAACACGUCCGACGGUGAGGGAUGAAAGCUGGGGGAGCAAACCGGAUUAGAUACCCGGGUAGUCCCAGCUGUAAACUAUGCAAACUCGGUGAUGCAUUGGCUUGAUGCCAAUGCAGUGCCGCAGGGAAGCCGUUAAGUUUGCCGCCUGGGAAGUACGUACGCAAGUAUGAAACUUAAAGGAAUUGGCGGGGGAGCACCACAAGGGGUGAAGCCUGCGGUUCAAUUGGAGUCAACGCCAGAAAUCUUACCCGGAGAGACAGCAGAAUGAAGGUCAAGCUGAAGACUUUACCAGACAAGCU